GCUUGCUCUGUCUGAUCAGUGGCGAACGGGUGAGUAACACGUGAGUAACCUGCCCCCGACUCUGGAAUAACCGUGGGAAACGACGGCUAAUACCGGAUAUGAGACGCACGGGCAUCUGUGUGUCUGGAAAGAUUUAUCGGUCAGGGAUGGACUCGCGGCCUAUCAGCUUGUUGGUGGGGUAAUGGCCUACCAAGGCGACGACGGGUAGCCGGCCUGAGAGGGCGACCGGCCACACUGGGACUGAGAUACGGCCCAGACUCCUACGGGAGGCAGCAGUGGGGAAUAUUGCACAAUGGGCGCAAGCCUGAUGCAGCGACGCCGCGUGAGGGAUGAAGGCCUUCGGGUUGUAAACCUCUUUCAGCAGGGAAGAAGCGAAAGUGACGGUACCUGCAGAAGAAGCGCCGGCUAACUACGUGCCAGCAGCCGCGGUAAUACGUAGGGCGCAAGCGUUGUCCGGAAUUAUUGGGCGUAAAGAGCUCGUAGGCGGUUUGUCGCGUCUGCUGUGAAAACCUGAGGCUCAACCUCGGGCUUGCAGUGGGUACGGGCAGACUAGAGUGCGGUAGGGGUGACUGGAAUUCCUGGUGUAGCGGUGGAAUGCGCAGAUAUCAGGAGGAACACCGAUGGCGAAGGCAGGUCACUGGGCCGCAACUGACGCUGAGGAGCGAAAGCAUGGGGAGCGAACAGGAUUAGAUACCCUGGUAGUCCAUGCCGUAAACGUUGGGCACUAGGUGUGGGGCUCAUUCCACGAGUUCCGUGCCGCAGCAAACGCAUUAAGUGCCCCGCCUGGGGAGUACGGCCGCAAGGCUAAAACUCAAAGAAAUUGACGGGGGCCCGCACAAGCGGCGGAGCAUGCGGAUUAAUUCGAUGCAACGCGAAGAACCUUACCAAGGCUUGACAUACACCGGAAAAGUGCAGAGAUGUGCUCCCCGCAAGGUCG
Molecule: ribosomal RNA, 937 nt
Filed under: Cellulomonas cellasea
Lineage: Bacteria; Bacillati; Actinomycetota; Actinomycetes; Micrococcales; Cellulomonadaceae
Description: bacterial SSU rRNA
Rfam family: Bacterial small subunit ribosomal RNA
Source: RNAcentral